Molecule: long non-coding RNA, 653 nt
Filed under: Fukomys damarensis (Damara mole-rat)
Lineage: Eukaryota; Metazoa; Chordata; Mammalia; Rodentia; Bathyergidae
Description: lncRNA (ENSFDAG00000024950.1)
Source: RNAcentral
GGUUCCUCCGGGUUUCUGAACAGAAAGUGUAGGCCUCUGUGUACUCCUCGUUUCUGAACUCAUCACCGCUGACCGCCUGCAGCUUCACUGAGCAUGAACUACACGUCUAAGAGCAAUUGAACAUUGUUUCCGAUGGCAAACUUUGCUCUUGGACUGAGUUCUGAUUAUUUACCUAACUAAAUAUUCACUGAGCAGAAGAUUGCUGCACAGAGGACUGACGGUGGAGGGGAUACAACAGUGAGCGUGUCGCCCUGCCUUUACCAUCUGUCUUUGGAUGUACGUGGUCUGGAGCUAGUGCAGGACGCAAAUUAGAGGCCAAAUCCGAUUCAACCUGAUUUCAAAAGGGACUCCGCAGGGACCUGACUUAAAACCAAGGUGAUGAGGAUGGCAGAACUGAGCACACGCCUAGGGCAAGAUGGCGCACGGAAGCCUAAUGAAGGAGACCUGCAGCUGCAUAGAUGGGACCUGCACACAAUAGUUCUUCAGUUUUUAUCCCCCACGUUGUGGAUCACAACCUUUCACUAUUGCCUGCCUGACAUUUCCCUUACUGGCUGCAUACACUUGGACUGGUUGCUUAGAAUCAUCACCUCUGGAAGUAGGGUGAACAAAAACUUACUGAAUUAUUUAGAAGAGUCAAUGAAGGUAACACACAU